GAUGAACGCUGGCGGCGUGCCUAAUACAUGCAAGUCGAGCGAACAGAUAAGGAGCUUGCUCCUUUGACGUUAGCGGCGGACGGGUGAGUAACACGUGGGUAACCUACCUAUAAGACUGGGAUAACUUCGGGAAACCGGAGCUAAUACCGGAUAACAUUUGGAACCGCAUGGUUCUAAAGUGAAAGAUGGUUUUGCUAUCACUUAUAGAUGGACCCGCGCCGUAUUAGCUAGUUGGUAAGGUAACGGCUUACCAAGGCAACGAUACGUAGCCGACCUGAGAGGGUGAUCGGCCACACUGGAACUGAGACACGGUCCAGACUCCUACGGGAGGCAGCAGUAGGGAAUCUUCCGCAAUGGGCGAAAGCCUGACGGAGCAACGCCGCGUGAGUGAUGAAGGUUUUCGGCUCGUAAAACUCUGUUAUUAGGGAAGAACGAACGUGUAAGUAACUGUGCACGUCUUGACGGUACCUAAUCAGAAAGCCACGGCUAACUACGUG
Molecule: ribosomal RNA, 497 nt
Filed under: uncultured bacterium
Lineage: Bacteria
Description: partial 16S ribosomal RNA
Rfam family: Bacterial small subunit ribosomal RNA
Source: RNAcentral